AACGAACGCUGGCGGCAGGCCUAACACAUGCAAGUCGAACGCCGUAGCAAUACGGGGUGGCAGACGGGUGAGUAACGCGUGGGAACAUACCCCUCGGUUCGGAAUAACUCAGGGAAACUUGAGCUAAUACCGGAUACGUCCGAGGUUUUAAUCGAUCUCGGAGAAAGAUUUAUCGCCGGAGGAUUGGCCCGCGUCUGAUUAGCUUGUUGGUGAGGUAAUGGCUCACCAAGGCGACGAUCAGAGCUGGUCUGAGAGGAUGAUCAGCCACAUUGGGACUGAGACACGGCCCAAACUCCUACGGGAGGCAGCAGUGGGGAAUAUUGGACAAUGGGCGAAAGCCUGAUCCAGCCAUGCCGCGUGAGUGAUGAAGGCCUUAGGGUUGUAAAGCUCUUUUACCCGGGAAGAUAAUGACGGUACCGGGAGAAUAAGCCCCGGCUAACUUCGUGCCAGCAGCCGCCGUAAU
RNAcentral lists this ribosomal RNA (463 nucleotides) under uncultured bacterium. RNAcentral describes it as "bacterial SSU rRNA". It matches the Rfam family "Bacterial small subunit ribosomal RNA", at positions 29 to 524 of the family's 1533-position model. The record is from RNAcentral.